Molecule: ribosomal RNA, 375 nt
Filed under: uncultured organism
Description: partial 16S ribosomal RNA
Rfam family: Bacterial small subunit ribosomal RNA
Source: RNAcentral
GAAGGGAGCAAGCGUUAUUCGGGAAUUACUGGGGCGUAAAGGGCGUGUAGGCGGUCUGCUAAGUUAGUUGUUAAAGAUCAUGGGCUUACCCAUGAAAAGGCGAUUGAUACUGGUAGACUAGAGUUCAAGAGAGAGGAGUGGAAUUCUCGGAGUAGCGGUAAAAUGCGUAGAUCUCGGGAGGAACACCGAUGGCGAAGGCAGCUCUUUGGCUUGAUACUGACGCUGAGGCGCGAAAGCGUGGGGAGCAAACAGGAUUAGAUACCCUGGUAGUCCACGCCGUAAACGACGAUCACUAGAUGUUGGUUCUGCUUAGCGGAAUCAGUGUCAAAGCUAACGCGUUAAGUGAUCCGCCUGGGGAGUACGGCCGCAAGAUUA